RNA transcript from Alexandromys fortis (reed vole), 6061 nucleotides. It is a transcript of the gene named taspase 1, with no coding region annotated. The transcript is spliced from 12 exons. The record is from RefSeq and is a predicted model, not a curated record. Lineage: Eukaryota; Metazoa; Chordata; Mammalia; Rodentia; Cricetidae.
AUUCACUGUUUCUAAUGCUUAUUUAUAUUCUACUCUUUGUAAUGACUCACUGAUGCUCUGUUUUACAAAUAUAUCACAUUUUGUUUUUAAUUGAUCCAUUGUCGCUUGAUGAGCAUUUAAAGUGCUCCCUAAUUUUGGCUCCUAUGAAUAAAAUUUGGAAAUCUGUGAAGAAGUUAACUUUUAUUUAUUUUUAAGAGAACGACUUACUGUGCCUGUGUGUGGGGCACGCACUUGCAGUGUCCGCCUGCCUCUGCCUCCUGAGUGCUGGGAUUAAAGGUGUGCCCCACCACUGCCUGGUUUAGCUUUAGAUUCUUAACUCUCCUUCUCCAGAGCCUCAAAUUUUAGGAUUAUAGACAUGUGCUGUCAUGUCCAGCUGUGGGCAUAUGAUAACACUCUUAACCUUUUUUUUAAAAAAAAAAUCUUAAAAACAUUUUUAUUGUAUAUGUGCCAUGGCACAUGUUUGGAGGUUAGAGGGCAAAUUUCAGGAGUUGGUUCUCUCCUAUAUCAUGGGUUCUGAGUUUUGAACUCAGAUCACAAGGCUUACGUUUCAAAUGCUCUUUUUAUUGGCUUAGCCAUCUUGCUUUGGGGGAUCCAUUCCAGGACCUUGUGCAUGUUGUCUCACUGAGCUGUGUUUUCGGCAUCUAUGUAAUCAUUAAUUCUUUAAGAAAAUUUUGUAGAGAAUGAACAAGUUCUCUUUCACAAUGAAAUAAUGUUCACAAUGAAUUUUAAUAUCAUUACUGAUAGGGAAGCUGUGAAAUGUUCAUAUUUAAAUACAUUGCUCAGAAAUGAGGGCAACAUGAAGAUGAGCUAUAGAAUUCUUUUUUUUUUUUUUUUUUUUGGUUUUUCGAGACAGGGUUUCUCUGUGGUUUUGGACCCUGUCCUGGAACUAUAGAAUUCUUUAAAGAUUAAAAUAUUUGAAGUAAUUUAUGAUGUUUAUGGGCUUGGAUGUUGACGUGCACGGUUAGAGCUUAUCCAGCCUAGUGUUCUUAGUUCUCAUUGCAUAGAACUUUUAAUCCCUGCACAUCUCUGAUCAUUAAGAACGUUUUGCUGUGGGUAUUGGCUCAGAAUCGAGCUGAAGCAAUAGAUGUUUCUCUUGAGCUACGCUUGGUAUAAGUGUGCUACAUGUUUCAAAUAAUGUAAUAAUAGUGCCAAGUAUGAUAAACAUAUCACAGAGGUAUUUAAUGUUAAUCAAAUGUCAUGCCCUACCCCCUGUCUGAUCGGCAGAAAUCAAUGUUUUUCUUUCCUUUUCCAAUUACCUGUAGUUUAUGUGUCCCUGUAAAUUUAAGAUUCAGAAAAAUUGAAACAAAAAUAGCUCCUUUAUGAGUCAUUGGGCAUGUUUUUCUAUAUUCUUUUCUGAGGUAGCAUUAUAAAGAUGUCACUUACAAAUCAAAGUAAGUUCAGAAUAUGGCAUUUCCUUUGUUACAGCAGUUUUAAAGUGGAAUCUUAUAGUUUCUGGGUCUUGGAUUUAGUUCAUUAACUAGUGCUUCUGUAAUAUAUAUAUAUAUAAUGUAUAUAUACCUAUAUGUUAUAUGCAUAUAUAUUAAGCUUCUCUAAAGGAACAGAUCUGAUAGACUAUAUAGAUACAUUCAUUACAUGUGUACGCCUUAGUUAGGAUUUUAUUGCUGUGGGGAGACACCAUGACCAUGGCAUUUUUUUUUUUUUUUUUUUUUGAGAUGAAGCUUCUCUGUGGAACAGUUUUAGCUAUACUGGAACUUGCUCUGUAAACCAGACUGGCCUCAAACUCAGAAAGAUCCGCCUGCCUCUGCCUCCUGAGUGCUGGGAUUAAAGAUGUGCACCACCAUACAUGGUGACCAUGGCAACUCUUAUAUAGGAAAACAUUUAAUUGAGGCUGAUUUACAGUUUUGGAGGUUUAAUCCACUAUCAUCAUGGUGAGAAGCAUGGCAGUUUGCAGGCAGACAUGGUGCUGGAGAAGGCGCUGAGAGUUCUACAUCUCGAUCCACAGGCAACAGAAGAAGACUAUGUGCCAUACUAGGUGUAGGUUGACCAUAUAAGACCUCAAAAUCAAUCCCCACAAUGACACACUCCAACUAGGCCACACCUCCUAAUAGUGCCACUCCCCAUGGGCCAAACACUCAAACAUGUGAGUCUAUUGGGGCUUUUCCUAUUUAAGCCACCACAUUGUGUGUGUAUAUACAUCUAUCUAUCUAUCUAUCUAUCUAUCUAUCUAUCUAUCUAUCUAUCUAUCUAUCUAUCUACAUCUAUAUUCUAUAUAUAUUUAAAAAGUGGAACUGGGUGGUGGUGGCACAUGCCUUUAAUCCCAGCACUCGGAGGCAGAGGCAGGUGGGUCUCUGUGAGUCCGAGGCCAGCCUGGUCUACAAGAGUUACUUCCAGGACAGACUCCAAAGCUACAGAGAAACCCUGUCUUGAAAAACCAAACACACACACACACACACACACACACUGUUGAAAUAAGAGCGGCGGGGCUGCGUCCCCAACACCCCGGCCGCUUGGCUAGCUCAUGCCCGAAAUAACAACACACAAACUGUAUUCAUUUAAAGAACUGCUUGGCCCAUGAACUCUAGCCCUUACAGGCUAAUUCUCGCACCUGGUCUAGCCCAUUUCUAAUGAUGUGUGUAAGCACCCCAAGGUGCGCUUACCGGAAAGAUUCUAGCCUAAGUCCAUCGUGGGUUGCAGCUGCCUGGGAGAGCUGAGCAUGGCGUCUCUGCUCCAGCAGAGCUGUCCGGUCUCUCCGGAAGCAGAGCAGAGUCUGACCUCACUUCCUCUUCCGCCCAGAAUUCUAUUCUGUUUACUCCUCCCAUCUAUGUUCCAAGCUGAGGCCAAGCAGUUGGUUUAUUAUAACUUAACCAAUGAAAUCAACAGAUUGAUAUAUGACACUCCCACAUCAACACACACAGAUGAUAAAUAUACAUUUUUUAAAAAGAGUCUCUCUUUUCGAUCAAGGUAUUCUGGAUCUCAUUGUAUACCCAACUAUGGUCUCAAACUUCUCAGUUGUUUAUUUGUAUGCUUUAAAAUAGUUUUUAACUAGAUGUUUGUUCCAUGUCUAUAAAUCAAGAACUUCUUCAUUCCUUCUAGUGGCUGCUUUUAAUUGAAUCGAAUUGAUUUAUCUUUGAACCAGGUUCCAGCUGUGUAACCCUAUUGACCUUUAUUUUGCAAUCCUCUGUCUCAGCCUUAUCGGUGCUGGAAUUAUAGACAUUUGCCACAAUGUCUGACCCCUUCCUUUUUUCAAUUUAAUAUGAUUGAGUAUUUUUUUAUAUUUAUUUAUUAUGUAUACAGUAUUCUGUCUGCGUGUAUUCCUGCCAGCCAGAAGAAGGCACCAGACCUCAUUACAGAUGGUUGUGAGCCACCAUGUGGUUGCUGGGAAUUGAACUCAGGACCUUUGGAAGAACAGGCAGGGGCUGGAGAGAUGGCUCAGAGGUUAAGAGCAUUGCCUGUCCACGAUUGAGUAUUUUUACUUAACACUGUCAUUUAAAAAGUUUUGACCACCCCCACUGUCAUGUUUUCUUUAAAUCUCUUUGUUGCUUUUAAAGUGGUAUGUUUAGUCCUAAUUUAGAAUAAAUUCUGACCUCUUUGUUGUUAUUAAAAUUUAAUUGUGUAAUGUUUUUGAAUUUUUACUCCAUAGUGACUAAAUUUAAAAGCUUAAUGGCAUUAGUCACUUGAAAAUUGUUUUUAUUAAAUUUUAUGUCUCAUUACUUCCCUGUGGAGAACUUCCGGCUUUUCAUGCUGACAGCUGUUUGAAAGGGUGCUUGUUUAAUUUCUUGGGUUAGACAUAACUUUGUUAGCAUUUAUGUUUCAUGAUUGAUUCUUGGUUUAGACAUAAUUUUGUUAGAAUUUAUGUUUCAUAAUUGCACUGAGCAGCAUUUAACUGAUGAUUUUGAGAACUGAAGAAUUUUUUGUAAAUGGGAACAGUGGUAUUACACUCUGUAAUCUCAGUACUCACAAAGAAGGCUGUGGCAGUAUAGUCAUGGGGCAGGGCGUUCAGGCCAGCUUGAGCCAUAUAGUGAGGUCUUGUGCCAACAAACAUUCAAGCUGGUGAGAUGGCUCAGCUGGUAAUGGUGCUUGCUCUGUAAGGCCAGCAACUAGAGCUUGAUUCCCAGAACCCAUGUAAGGUGGAAGGAGAAAACUGACUCCGCAGUGUUGUCCUCUGACUUCUACCUCCACAAUAUGUACACACGGUAAUACUGAAUAAAAAUUUAAAAAUACCUCACAUGUAAGUAUGAAUUUGUUGCUUUCUUUAAAUAGAAAGCUAGACUUUAUCUUAGUUUAGUGUGCCAGUGGUGCUUGUAAUUUCAAAUGUCCCAGAGAUUGGCUGGUGUGCAGGGAAAAUAAAGUGAUAGUCAGUCACUCUGUGUUGAGGUUACUUCAGUAUGGGCAACACAAAGACAACAUUUGGACUAGGUGGGGUUUUUUUUUUUUUUUUGGAGAGUUUCCUUCCCCCCCUUUUAAGGAUCUAACUAUGUAGUCCUGGGUAGGCUAGAACUGUCUGUAUAUAACUUGCUAUAUAUAUGAUAGAUAGAUAGACAGACAGAUGACAGACAGACAGACUGACCAGGCUAGCCUCAAAGUCAGUGAUCCCCCUGCUUCUGACUCUCCAGAGCUCUGGUAAAGGCGUGUGUUGCCACACUCAGCCCAGAUGAGAUCUUUUUAUAGAAAGUUCUUUUGUUUAUAUGUCUUCAGACAAGUACUGUCACUGGAGAUGGAUAUAAAUUGUAAACUUGUUAUGUUAUGUUACUGUUAUCCAAUUCAAUAAUUUAAAAAAUAACCUAUUUUAAAAAAUAUGUGUAUGACUUUUUGUAAGUAGUGUGUAUGCUGGUAGAAAGAAACAGAGGUAAUCUUUUCCUUUUUUCCCCUAGGGUAACUCUUUUUAUAGUUGCUGAUGCAUGGAAGGAUGCUCUUUUCCUGAUAGAAGAUGAAAAUCUUGGAGGAUGACCAUGGAGAAGGGGAUGAGUUCUGGAGAAGGAUUGCCUUCCAGAGCACCUCAGGCAUCUGCUGCUAAAGUCACAGUCAAGGAAUCGGAAACAAGGCAGCCUUGUGAGGAGAAACGAGGGGGCUUUGUGCUGGUGCAUGCAGGUGCAGGUUAUCAUUCAGAAUCCAAAGCCAAGGAAUAUAAACAUGUAUGCAAACGAGCUUGUCAGAAGGCAAUUGAGAAGCUGCAGGCUGGUGCUCUUGCGACAGAUGCAGUGACUGCAGCUCUGGUGGAGCUUGAGGAUUCUCCGUUUACAAAUGCAGGAAUGGGAUCUAAUCUGAAUCUCCUAGGAGAAAUCGAGUGUGACGCCAGCAUAAUGGAUGGGAAAUCCUUGAAUUUCGGAGCAGUUGGAGCACUGAGUGGAAUCAAGAAUCCAGUCUCAGUUGCAAACAGACUCUUGUGUGAAGGGCAGAAGGGCAAGCUCUCUGCAGGCAGGAUUCCUCCCUGCUUUUUAGUUGGAGAAGGAGCCUACAGAUGGGCAGUGGAUCAUGGGAUACCCUCUUGCCCUCCUAGCAUCAUGACCACAAGAUUCAGCUUAGCUGCAUUCAAAAGGAACAAGAGAAAAUUAGAACUGGCAGAAAGGGUGGAAACAGACUUCAUCCAGCUAAAGAAAAGAAGACAAUCAAGUGCAAAGGAAAAUGACUCAGGCACCUUGGACACAGUGGGUGCUGUGGUGGUCGAUCAUGAAGGGAAUGUUGCUGCUGCUGUCUCCAGUGGAGGCUUGGCCUUGAAACAUCCAGGGAGAGUUGGGCAGGCUGCUCUUUAUGGAUGUGGCUGCUGGGCUGAGAAUACUGGAGCUCAUAACCCCUACUCCACAGCUGAUGUGGAGAGCAUCUUGUGCGCACCAUACUGGCUAGAGAAUGUUCACAUGCUUUACAAGCUGAAGAUGCUCACCAAGCUCUGUUGGAGACUAUGCAAAACAAGUUCAUCAGUUCACCUUUCCUUGCCAGUGAGGAUGGCGUGCUCGGUGGAGUGAUCGUUCUCCGGUCAUGCAGAUGUUCUUCAGAGUCUGACUCCUCCCCAAAUAAGCAGACGCUUCUAGUGGAAUUUCUGUGGAGCCACACUACAGAGAGCAUGUGCGUAGGAUAUAUGUCAGCCCAGGAUGGAAAAGCCAAG